UAAUCUUGUAUUUCUCUCUUUCUGUUUUAUAGAUGAAAAUCUGCAGUUUUUGCUUUUUGAUUUGAGUUUCUGCAACUGCGCCACUGCUUUGUUUGCUGUUCACUCUUCAUUGUCAAAAUUACUUCGCCGGGCUGAUUUUUUUGUUCGAAUCACCUUGGGUGCGACCGCAGCGACUUUUUUGAUGAGAUUAUGCCAAGUCACGCUGUGGAAUAGUGUGUAGGGAAAUUUCGUGUUUUUCAGCUUUUACAUGGCACUAAAGGACAAGAGCUAGUCUAUAGAUGAUAGUAGAUCAAAA
Molecule: non-coding RNA, 295 nt
Organism: Bemisia tabaci
Lineage: Eukaryota; Metazoa; Arthropoda; Insecta; Hemiptera; Aleyrodidae
Source: RefSeq, a predicted model, not a curated record